AUUCCAGCUCCAAUAGCGUAUACUAAAGUUGUUGCAGUUAAAAAGCUCGUAGUUGAAUUUCUGGUCUCGGACAGCGGUCUGCCUCAAACGAGGUACGCACCACCUGUUCAGGUCCAUCCUCGGAGAAAACAUGCCUGUGAUUCAGUUCAUGGGUAUGGGAUCUUCGUCAUUUACUGUGAGCAAAAUAUAGUGUUCAAAGCAGGCUUAUGCCGUUGAAUACAUUAGCAUGGAAUAAUAAAAUAAGACCUUGGUCUAUUUUGUUGGUUUCGAACACCGGAGUAAUGAUUAACAGGGACAGUCAGGGGCACUCGUAUUCCGCCGAGAGAGGUGAAAUUCUCAGACCAGCGGAAGACGAACCACUGCGAAAGCAUCUGCCAGGGAUGUUUUCAUUG
This 392-nucleotide ribosomal RNA is filed under the name Chrysophyceae sp. RNAcentral's name for it is "partial small subunit ribosomal RNA". It matches the Rfam family "Eukaryotic small subunit ribosomal RNA", at positions 582 to 975 of the family's 1831-position model. The record is from RNAcentral. Lineage: Eukaryota; Chrysophyceae.